UGAUUCCAUAUUUUAUUGCCAUAUGAUUAGAGAAUAUGGUCUAAAUGCUCAUGUAUGUUAGAUCAAGCUUGUUUAUUCUGUUUGACUCUUCUAUAACUUUUCUCAUUUGUUUUAUGAAUGUUGAAAUCUUUCCUAUAGAUGUGAUUUGUCAGAUUCUUUUUGUAAUUCGUCAAUGUAUGGUUUACAUCUUUUGAAAUUAUUUUGUUAAGUGAAUAUAGCCAAGUGUCUGUAGGGAUGGGUAUAGAAAUAGAGCAUAAGAAUUUGGCAGAUGUCCAAUAGCAGAGAUAAAAACCAGAGAACCUGGAGAAAAAAAGCUUUUUCUCAAACUCUAAUCCAAGGGUUGACACAAAAGAAGUGCCGGAUUAUGUCUGCCAAGUUCAUGAGAAAAAGACUCAUAUCAGGACCCUUGUGCUGUAUGAGGAGUGAAAGCAUAAGAUGGGGGUCCAGGAUGAAGUCAGUUGAAUGUAACUCAUAGCCAACUGUUUUUAACUGCUACCAUACCUGUGUAUUUGUUUGAAAGUGGCUAGAGUUCAAAGUUCCUACCUGUCAGUGAAUCCUGGCAGGAAUUCUUUUGGUUGACUAAAACAUAGAGCAACUUCUAACAUUGAAUCAUUUCCCACCCACACUUUUAUUUUGGCUAGCUAUUCCUGACAUUUGUAUACUUUAAAAAUCUUAAUAUCACAUUUCAUAUUAUCCUUUGUGUUUGGAACUCUAGGAGGAUGAAUUAUUCCAAUUGUCUUACUUGGAGGAAACUUUAGUGAGUUUAGUUUACCUGGUAGCCUUUCCCUCUGAGAUUUUGUUUCUAGUAGACUUCACCACUGAGCAGAAAUACUUCUCCUAUUACAGCACUCAGUUUAUCUGUAGGUGAAAACCUUUGCGUCUUAAAUAAAACACUAAGCUAGUGGGCUCAUUCUGGCUCUGUUUCUCUUCAUCAGUGCUUCUAUGUCUGUUUGCCAAGUCUGAGGUUCAGGACUCAGACAUCUUGGAGGAACACUAGGGACAAAGGUACUUUUCAUUUAAUGUGAAAAAUAGCAUUUUUCUUUAGGCUAUUUUGUUUGGUUGCUCCAAAGUAAUUUACCUUGGGGAGCAGAGACCCAACUGAGACAUUGAAGACUAAGAGGAAACUAAUUUUUUAAAAAGUACGUAUAGUUAUAAGCAGUCAACACAGGCAAAUUUUUGAUGAAAAAUAUUCUUCAACCCUGACAGAGACAUUCCCUGUGGUAAAAGAUGCAGCUCUGUCAUAAACAUAGGAAUAUGUAACCCCUCUCCCCUCAUUCCUUUAUUACUUUCAGGUCUCUUCAUUUUGGGUGAAGAAAACAUGCCAAGUUUACAGUGUGAUUUAUUUUAGUAAAACAGACAACUACCUAGAUGAUUCAAGGUUCUGUCCUUCCCCAUCUUCAUAUAAACAUUUAUCUCCUAUAUUUAGUUUAUGCAAAUGAAGGGUACUUGUGGGGGUUUGGACGUUGUGCCAAAUACCCUAUAAUUGCACAGUUUGAAAUUUAGUUUCCUAGCACAGACUGGUUUCUAAGAUGGUGUGAUGUUUUCAGUCUCCAAAAACCUUAUAAGAAACUUUGCAUGUUUUAUAGUUGAGUUUGAGCAUUUUCUUCUUUGGUCAUUUUCAUGCCAUUAGAUUAUACUGCUCUAAGUUCUACAUGGUAGGUCUGGCAUCUGAUCCUUUCCAUGAAUAACUACUGCUUUCCCAAAUUUGAAAAUAUAAAAACAAAAGAGCUACAUUAAACAGUAGAUGAUCUGAGAGUUAAUUUUUCAGAAGAGAAUAGAAUGAGUCCAAUUAGACAGCAUUCACUUUAGGACUAAUGCUUAAUUAUACCAGUUCCAGAAUAAUCUAAUCCAACUGUAUCCUAGAGACUUUGAUUAUGCCUUUGCUGAAUUACUCCAAAUUCAUUUUAAAAUCAGAUCCUUUCCAGAGUAGAUCCUAAACCCUGGGGCUUCAGGCUAACUUGCUGUUAAAAUUCCCUUCUCAUGACUUUUUUUUUUUUUUUUAUGGUUAGUAACUUUUCUCCUUCCCAGCUAAAGGUGGUACAGUUACCCUGCUUAUGCUGGUAGAGUAUGGACCUACUUAUGUUCUUAGCUCGUCUGUAUACACUUGCUGGGAAAAGCUAUGCUGCUUCUCUACCCCCUCUGCAUUAGACAAGAGGUAGAAGAGUCCACAGGCUGCCAUACACUGACAAUGGACACCUUUACCUGACUAGAGGUUGACCAGGUAAAAGAAAGUCCUUGUCCAUUAUAAUCACAGAGAAGAAUAAUUUUUGCCAUGCUUUUCCCAGUAACCUCUGAAAUUGACAGCAAUAAAUUUAUAUAAAAACAGAGGUUAAAAUCUUUUUUGGUCUAAAGAUACUAAAAAUAUUUCAAAAAUUAUCAAAAACCUAUAGUUUGCAUGGCACUUUGCUCAACAAUAUGUGUGAUUCCACAUUUUACAAAUCAGGAGGAGAAAUGAAUAUAUAUACUCACACCUAUGAUCUCAAGCAGUACUGUAGAAACAAUUGUUGAUGUGGUGAUUCUUUCUGGUCAGGGAAGGCUUCUGGAGAAAGUUGCAUUUAUACAGGGGCUUCGAGAUGGGUAGGAAUUAUCAAAGGGCAGACAUAUUUCAGUAGUAUUAGGACUACUUUAAAUGGAGCAUGAUUAUAAGUCCAGCAAACUGCAUGACCAAUACCAAACAGUAGGAAAGAAUGUGUCACACUCAAAAGCAAGGAAUCAUAGUGACAUUGGGUAGAAAGGGGUAUAAAAUGGCAUUGAGUAUUUAGGGGGGAUAUCAGACCCCCUUUCAUUAUUAAAGAUAGAGGGAUGAUAGAAGACUUAAGUUGUUAAGUGGAAGUCAGGUUAUGAAGAGUCAUCAGCGACUGGGCUGUGUAGGUUAUGGGAAUCUCUGAGUGUGGGCAGGGCAGUAGUGUGAUGAGAGUGGUAUUCACAGGACUCUUUUCUUCAGUGGUGGCUGUGGUCAGCAUUAGAGCCAGCAGCCUGCAGGUGAGGAGAACAGCUAGAAAGCUCUUGGAUUAGUCUGGAUGUUAGAGUCUUGAACUGAGAAUCAAAUCACAUCUCUGCCUGUCUUGUAAGGGACAGAUCCAGGUUUGGUGGAGAGUAAAGCUUACACUGUUUUCUAGAGUCCUCUUUAGGAAAAAUAAAACAAAUUUACAAGCAAAAAUUUGCUGUGCUUCUUCCUGGAUCUUAGGGAUAUGUAAAUAAGCCCAGCUUCAUGGUAAAUCACCCUCUGGGUAAAAACUGUGAGAGUUUCUGAGUUAGAAUAAUUUGCCCCCUUCAUUAUUGUUAAAUGCAUCUGCUUGUUUCAGAGAGGGAAAUUUUAUGACAAUUGGCUCAAAUAGACAAAUAAAACAGUUUAGCCCAUAAGCAGAAGCUGCCUAUUUGUACAAAGCCUUGGUCAAGAGGAAAAAUUUUGUUUAUUUCGUCUUUACAGAUUUUAAGUUAGUUAUUUUCAACACCCAAACAACUUCUAAAAUAUAAGAACAUUUGCUCUAUUGAAAGCAUCAAUUAGAGAUAGGCCUGCGGGAACUUGGGUUCAAAUCCUGUGUUGUUCAUUUCACUAUGAGAAAUGCUUAGAACAGUGCCUGAGCACAUAACAAAUUAUCAAUAAGUAUUUGCAUUACUUUUAUCAAUGGAGAGUUUAAAAAUAAAAUAAUGAAAAUGUGUUCAAAACAAGAUGAGUAUUAGCUGCUUUUAAACAGAUCACUUGCUAAUGGGGAUUACUACCAUUGUUACCUAAAUUUAGGUUUGCAAAUUGAGUCCCACAGAAGUUGUUUAUUUGUGGUUUUAGGUUCUUAGCUGGCUGCACACUGAAUGCCUGGAACUCUUUUAAGUCCUACCUUUGCCAGAGCCCCAACCUGGCCAGUUUGGUCAAAACCUCUGCAGUGAGCUUGGGCAUCAGGGUGUAGGACUGACUCCUUGAUGACUUUAUUAUACAGCAGAGUCAGAGCUGAAAUUCAGGGUGUGUGGCAUCCCAGUGUUUUGGGGGUCCCCCAGCUGUUAGGUCUGGAGCACCCUGACUUUAGCCAUAGGUGAGAUCACCUGAGGAAGUUUCAAAUUUUCUUUUUUCUAUGUUAUUAUUCUCUAAAAAUAAACCAUAACUCAUUACUAAAAUAGAUAACUGUUGAACAAUGAAAAAGAUAGUCUUGUGUAAAAUUUUAAAAAAGCCUUCACCCUUACUCUUAACUGUAUUAAUUUAUUCAAAAUCUAAUAUCCUCAUAAAUCUCUAUUGCAAGGGUUCUUGUUACCCACUGCUGCUGCUGUUUCUUUUCACUUAAAGAUAAAAGCCCUUCCUGGAGCAGUCAUAAAACUUUGGAAACAGUGGUCCUUACCUCCAUAAUCACAUGCUGAACACUUCAUAGGGACUGGGCCCUAUUUAGCUCUGUAUGUACAUUAUCUCUUUGUCUUUAUGGCCCUCCAUGUGAGGUAGGCACAAUUACCAUCCCCAUUUUACAGAAGGGAAGUGAGUUUCUUUGGUCAUACACCUGGUAUGAGGAAGAGUUUAAGGGCAAGUGUACAAGAAGGGAGGAAGAACAGAAUAGUGGCUGUGACCCCCGGUAGGUUGGCAGACCCAGAAGGUUGGCAGCUUCUACUCUCUGCCCUUUGGUUUCCUUGGCCUGUAAGAUGAGAUAGGUUCAUCCUGGUUGUUAUGAGAUAAUAACCAUAGAAGUGGUGAAUGCUCAGAGAUGACAGCUAUUAAUGACUUAAUGAAUCAAAUGUGCUACUUUGAGAAUCCUAGUUUUAAAUGCACUCUAGAUUUUAAUAAGUUAAAUUUUUCAUUGUUUUUUAAUUAUUUCACAGAUAAAUGCAUGUAAUUGUGAGAAGUAGGAAGCCUAGCAAGCAAAAAUAUUAAAAGUCACCAUUACUUCUACAACAGAGAGCUUAUUUAAUUUAUUUCUAUCCUUUGUAUUUAGAAUGGGAUUGUGUUAAUUAUUGUUCUUUAAUUGCCUUUUCAUUCAGCAAUGUUUAUGUUGUCUCUUUUGCUGUAGAGUCUUGCUAUUAUGCUUGCAGAUGUGUGCUUAUGUCCUUAGAUGUUUAAUACCAUUAAAAAAAAAACCAAGUGCUUGCCACAGCAUCAUUCAUGAUUCAAGGACUUGCUGUUUUAUAUAAAAUAAUUUGCUUUUUUUUGUGGACAAGGCUGGCUUUCCUUACCUUACAUAGCAUGGAGUCAGUGCAAAGAGGCGGGAAAGGGCUUACCUGGAGAAAGUCUUGUAUAGAAGGCAGAAGAUGAGCAUAUUGGGAGACCCUUAGGAGGUCUAGGUAGGAGGUACUGCAGGGGGCAGCUAAUAUCCUAGGACCAGGACAGAACUGAAUCUUAAGCUUGUGAGAAACUGAAUAUACAAAUGGACAACUGCUGGGCCAUGUAUAAGAAUAGAACUCUGGCCCACAACCUGCAGCAACCAGUCCAAGAUACCAAUCCCUUAUCUAAAAUUAAUAGCCCCAAAAGCCAGCCUGCUAGACAGCAGGUUUGCAGGAAGUCAGAUUGCCAUCUCUAGUGACUGUCCAGAAAUCUAAGCAAUCGGCACCAAGGACUUAAUUAAUAACUGACAGCUUCCUACAUUUUGUCCCCACUUUCAGCUUUGGUCCAACAAAAGAAAGCCAAACAUGCACGCUGACCAAUCACAUUGGAUGCCCCACUUCUAGUUAAACCACCUCCAGCUUCCCCAGGCCACAGCCUCCAACCAGAGUACACCUGAAGUCUUCCCUUUAUCCCACUAUCGAGUUUUCUCACUCCUGUGCCUGCCUUUGAGUCUCUGCCUAAACGCAAGUGAUGGUGGCUGACUUCCUUGUUAUAGCAAGCUCUGAAUACAUAGCCUUUGCUUCGCUCCUUUGCUUGGUUUAUUUAUACACUUGCUUGAUGCUCAAGAUCUGCUGCCCAUGCGUGAUCACUGUCAGAUAAGGCCUUUUUUCUUUGAUGGAACUUUAAUUGAUCCUUUUCGAGAAGUACAGGCUAUUUUUCUGAAAGGCAGGGAUCAUAACUGACUCAUCUCAGGAUUCCUAAUGUCCAUCACUGCCUGGCUCAUAAUAAAAACUACUAAAAGGAGAGGGAAUGAGGCCCUGCUCACAAGGAUCAGGCCUGUUCUUUUCCAGUAUGGAAUCAGUAGAGUCCAGUGUGACUAGUCUGUCUUGUUUUGAUAGAAUGAAGUAUCAUCCCAAAUUCCAACUUAAAUAUAAACCAAACUGAAAUUGACUUGGUGCUGAGGGGAACUUUAUAGCCUGAAGGAUUUUGUAAAUCUCUAGAGAACUAUUUUUAAAUCUUUUUGGCACAACUCUCUCCUUUUUUUUUUUUUUUUAACACCUUCUAAACCCACGUAAAUUUUAAGGGAAAUUUAAUUUAAGAUUUUUUUUUCCCCUACUAAAUAGAAGAAGGUGCUAUUCACACAGUAAAGAAAACCAUGGCUAAGUUAGUAUGGCUUGCUUGUUAUCCCUGUUUCCCAGGAAGGUAACUGAAAUAAUGUGACUUGUGGUCAGUUAAUUAUCAUUGAGAUUGAGUUUUGUGAGGCUUCUCCACUGAUAAAUAGCCACAUCAGAACUUUGACCAGGAGCCCCACUUCUCAAUUAUGGACCAUGUCAGCACCGGGCUUGCUCCUUCAGAACAGAACUACCUGUCUAACAUUAGUACUGGGGCCUGGCAUACUACACCUGGCUUAUAGAUUGACCUUGACUGGUGUGUUCCUCCAGAAGACUAUCCAGAUUCAAACACUGAAGCAGUUUUAUUGUGUAGCUGAAACUUCUUCACAUGUGGGAACAAAGUCCAAAGGUGAGUAACUCUGGAGUGAUUCAUCUCAGAAAUUCCACACAGAUUUCAGGGGCCUGUAAUACUGCUUUCUGUGCUAAACAUCUUUUUAGAAGUCAUCAUUGGACUGUAAGCUCUAAAAGGGCGGGGACCUUAUCUGUCUUAUUUAUUUCUGUGUCUCUCGUACUUGACAUAUAGUAGCACCUAACAGGCUUUUGUUCAAUGUGUGAUGGGAUCUUGGAAUUCAGAGUCACUUGACAGAGGUAGUAAAAUACAGCAGACACAGCAGAGACACAGAGAACAAAGACCCUGCUGUAAAAACAUGCCAAGAUCAACAAGACUACAGUGACUCUCGUUGCAGAAAGAAGGCUUUGUUGGCUAGAUAUUUAUUAACAAAUGGACAAUUUAGGGCCCACUCCUGGUAGGGCCUUUAGUGUGAAGGGAAGUUCUCCCCAAUAGGAUUAAGCAAAUCUCAGGAUGAGUAAUCUGAUUGCCUCAUUCAGAAGAGAAGACUUCAUGCCGGUUACCCUAUAUUGGCUUGUGGGUAGGGCAUGUAAUAGACCAGCAUCAUGAGCUUAGAACUCUAGUGGGAGGAAAGCAAUCCUGUGUCCCUUGAGGGUCCUAAGAAGAACAAAGCUUUUUCUUAAAUUUUGCUGGCUAAAGGAGACCAAGUUUCCUUAACUUAGUUGUCAGCUCUUCUCCUAAGCGGCCUGGUGUAAAUAGCCCUGCCAACUUUGAGCCAUCUAUUUGUACAACCAAAUCCUUACUACAUUUAUUACCUUGUUUUCCCACAACUCUGUCAGCAAGCGCUCUUGGUGGGUGGGUGAGGAGAAGGGAUUGCGAAGCAGAUGAGUCUCUUAACAAAGACUUAUGUGGUGGGACACGAGAGGUUGUCAGCAUCUAUUUCAACCUCCUUCCGCUGUGUCUUCCUACACAGCAGGGGUGGAAAGGCUACACACUACAUUUCUCAGACACCCUUGCGGUCUGAGUUGGGGAUGGGGUUUAGCUGCUGUCUUGUUGGAAGGGCAGAACUGAAGCAGAGUUAUUGCUUCUGCAGGCAGGGAUGAUUGCAGGGCUUGUAUUUUCUCUGUAGCCCUAUUAGUAAAGGCCCCGUGGCCUGGCCACUAGCAUCGUGUGUGUUGAUAGAUGCCCCCGGCACCCAUAUUGCUAGGACAGACAGUCUCCUGGUGGGGUCCCAGAACUAGCAGCAGUGGUACGGCUUGUGGAGGUCUCUUGCUCAUGGCAGUGGGGUAUGACUGUAGACCAGCUUCCCAACUACCAGGCAGCAACCUGGGUGACCUGGUUCUGCUGUGUGGCUUGGGAGUUGUUUCUAGAAGAACUUAGAGUUUGUUUCAUUAGCCCUCCCAGUGCCCCGUAAACCACUGAGCAAAGUGUAAUAGACCCUGUUCUGCUUAAACUAGCCAGUUUGAAUUCUUUUCAGUGGAGCCUCUGACCACUCACUGAUGGGGUGAAUCAAGCUUUCUGAGUUAGGUAUUAUUGAGGGUUACCCUCCCCCAUUGCUAUUGCCUUGGUUUUAGACAAUUAUUUGCAAAACCACUUUUGGUUCUUGAAUUCUAGUGCACAUUUGUUCACUGUAUUCUAGAAAGUUGUGAGAAUUAGAAAUCCAAGGUUACGAGGUUUAAUAAAAUAUUCAAUCUGUUACAUAUUCUGAUUUGUGUAGAAAACUAUUGAGCCUACUAAUUUAUAUAUCCAGGGCCUGAGUUUAGAAUUGCCUUGACUAUUGUUAAUGAGCCUUUUCUCCUGGAUGUCUCAGAAACCUCCAGAUGAUAUAUAAUAUAAUCACAAUAUUAUAUAUCAAUGCCAGUAACCAUUAUCAUAAAGCAUUAUGUUUUUGUCCUUUAUUUAGUUUCUGAAAACAUGAUCCCUUAUGUCAGAGCUCAGGGGAGGCAUUGCAAAAAAAGAAAAUUAAGUUUCUGAGAUAUAUGAUAAUUUGUUGAAAGUCAUGAGGUUAGUUAAUAAAUAGUGGAGUCAGGCCUAGGCCAGGUACGAAAGGCUUAUCUUUGACAAUAAGAAAAGCAACUGUCUGAUGUAACAGGUUUCCUUCCAUAACCAGCCAAGAAUAGCCUGAGAUAGCUAAAAGAGUUAACUGCCCUUAAAAAAAUUUUUUUUUACCUGAAAAAAGUUCAUCGGAGGUACAAAAGAAAAGCUGGUGCCUUUAGAACUGUCAUUUUGGGUGCAAAGGACUGUUAUUGACACGAGUUGAGGAUAAAGGGCAGUGACAGGAUCAAGCUGAAGUGGUUCCUUGAAAAAUCUGUUAGUAUUCAGGCAGGCUUGGGUUACAGCUUUAUUCCAUCAAGCAGUGAUAUGAAAAGUGGCCUUAAGGAAAAGACAUUAGGGUGGGCUGAGGCAGGAGAGGAGGAGCUAGCAUGGCUUGUAGAGAAGGAGAACAGACUACCUGCUGGGCUUAGUAACUAGGUUAACACUUUUUUGUUUUGUUUUGUUCUCACUAUUAAUUCCUGUCAUUAAAGGGUCCAGGAAGGACCCCAUGGGAUUGAAACAGAAUGAGAGUGAAACAUUCUUUUCCACCAGAUAGCUCUUCAUCCCUUCUGUCUAAGACUCUUGGGGUCUUAGAUUUAGUGCUACUGGUACAUGAGGAGGAUUUUUUUGGUUUUUUGCUGUAGAAAGAUGUACAUGUAGCCAAGUGUUUCAUGGUGCUAUCUGUAAUGUGCUUUAAAACCUUUUGUGAGAGUGAAAUUUAUUUAAAGGAAAGGCUGUUUCCUACCAGUUGGAACAGCAUCUAGAAGUUUGACUCAUGCAUCUAGUCCCAAGAGUUUUGAUAUUAGAAACUUGCCGCAGAGCAAGCGGAGAGAUGUUAACCUCUGUAAUGCUGCAGAUCCGUCUUCAGCAGCCGUGCCACUAGGAACUGAAGCAUUUUCAGUGCCUUCUGUUGUUUGGCUUCUAUUGGGAGGACAAGGCAACUGAUUGAUAAUACUAACUAACGCCUGUUGGGACAAUCGUCAGAGGAGAUACAGCAAGAAGAAAGUUAUGUGCAAACCAGAAAGAGAGCUUUCACCAGACACUAAAUCUGAUGGUGCCUUGAUCUUGGACUUCCCAGCCUCCAAAACUGUUUGGGAGAGGAGUCCACAUGUGGAAAUUCAUUCUAGCAGC
Non-coding RNA from Sus scrofa (pig), 9862 nucleotides. The record is from RefSeq and is a predicted model, not a curated record. NCBI's taxonomy places the organism in Eukaryota, Metazoa, Chordata, Mammalia, Artiodactyla, Suidae.